GUAUGAUGAUGAGUGUGGAGCGGACAGAUGGAAAGCUUGCUCCCUGAUGUUAGCGGCGGACGGGUGAGUAACACGUGGGUAACCUGCCUGUAAGACUGGGAUAACUCCGGGAAACCGGGGCUAAUACCGGAUGCUUGAUUGAACCGCAUGGUUCAAUUAUAAAAGGUGGCUUUUAGCUACCACUUACAGAUGGACCCGCGGCGCAUUAGCUAGUUGGUGAGGUAACGGCUCACCAAGGCAACGAUGCGUAGCCGACCUGAGAGGGUGAUCGGCCACACUGGGACUGAGACACGGCCCAGACUCCUACGGGAGGCAGCAGUAGGGAAUCUUCCGCAAUGGACGAAAGUCUGACGGAGCAACGCCGCGUGAGUGAUGAAGGUUUUCGGAUCGUAAAACUCUGUUGUUAGGGAAGAACAAGUACCGUUCGAAUAGGGCGGUACCUUGACGGUACCUAACCAGAAAGCCACGGCUAACUACGUGCCAGCAGCCGCGGUAAUACGUAGGUGGCAAGCGUUGUCCGGAAUUAUUGGGCGUAAAGCGCGCGCAGGCGGUUUCUUAAGUCUGAUGUGAAAGCCCCCGGCUCAACCGGGGAGGGUCAUUGGAAACUGGGGAACUUGAGUGCAGAAGAGGAGAGUGGAAUUCCACGUGUAGCGGUGAAAUGCGUAGAGAUGUGGAGGAACACCAGUGGCGAAGGCGACUCUCUGGUCUGUAACUGACGCUGAGGCGCGAAAGCGUGGGGAGCGAACAGGAUUAGAUACCCUGGUAGUCCACGCCGUAAACGAUGAGUGCUAAGUGUUAGAGGGUUUCCGCCCUUUAGUGCUGCAGCAAACGCAUUAAGCACUCCGCCUGGGGAGUACGGUCGCAAGACUGAAACUCAAAGGAAUUGACGGGGGCCCGCACAAGCGGUGGAACAUGUGGUUUAAUUCGAAGCAACGCGAAGAACCUUACCAGGUCUUGACAUCCUCUGACAACCCUAGAAAUAGGGCUUCCCCUUCGGGGGAAAAUGA
This 1007-nucleotide ribosomal RNA is filed under the name Bacillus licheniformis. Its description in RNAcentral is "bacterial SSU rRNA". It matches the Rfam family "Bacterial small subunit ribosomal RNA", at positions 46 to 1034 of the family's 1533-position model. The record is from RNAcentral. Lineage: Bacteria; Bacillati; Bacillota; Bacilli; Caryophanales; Bacillaceae.